AGUGAACGCUGGCGGUAGGCCUAACACAUGCAAGUCGAACGGCAGCACAGUAAGAGCUUGCUCUUACGGGUGGCGAGUGACGGACGGGUGAGGAAUACAUCGGAAUCUACUUUUUCGUGGGGGAUAACGUAGGGAAACUUACGCUAAUACCGCAUACGACCUACGGGUGAAAGCAGGGGAUCUUCGGACCUUGCGCGAUUGAAUGAGCCGAUGUCGGAUUAGCUAGUUGGCGGGGUAAAGGCCCCCCAAGGCGACGAUCCGUAGCUGGUCUGAGAGGAUGAUCAGCCACACUGGAACUGAGACACGGUCCAGACUCCUACGGGAGGCAGCAGUGGGGAAUAUUGGACAAUGGGCGCAAGCCUGAUCCAGCCAUACCGCGUGGGUGAAGAAGGCCUUCGGGUUGUAAAGCCCUUUUGUUGGGAAAGAAAAGCAGCAGGUUAAUACCCCGCUGUUCUGACGGUACCCAAAGAAUAAGCACCGGCUAACUUCGUG
This 492-nucleotide ribosomal RNA is filed under the name uncultured bacterium. RNAcentral's name for it is "partial 16S ribosomal RNA". It matches the Rfam family "Bacterial small subunit ribosomal RNA", at positions 29 to 507 of the family's 1533-position model. The record is from RNAcentral.